RNAcentral lists this transfer RNA (75 nucleotides) under Nanobdellota archaeon. RNAcentral describes it as "tRNA-Lys". It matches the Rfam family "tRNA". Rfam says of the family: Transfer RNA (tRNA) molecules are approximately 80 nucleotides in length. Their secondary structure includes four short double-helical elements and three loops (D, anti-codon, and T loops). Lineage: Archaea; Nanobdellati; Nanobdellota. The record is from RNAcentral.
GAGCCAUUAGCUCAGUCUGGUUAGAGCGACGGACUCUUAAUCCGUAGGCCGCGAGUUCAAAUCCCGUAUGGCUCG